RNAcentral lists this microRNA precursor (61 nucleotides) under Pristionchus pacificus. Its description in RNAcentral is "mir-8364 microRNA precursor family". It matches the Rfam family "mir-8364 microRNA precursor family". The record is from Rfam by way of RNAcentral. Lineage: Eukaryota; Metazoa; Nematoda; Chromadorea; Rhabditida; Neodiplogasteridae.
UCUUCAUUUUGCGUGCUCUCUCACCGGUCAGAGAGGCGAGAGAGUGUGCGUAAUGAAGAGA